CUUUCCGUGGAGAGACUAUCAACUCCAUCUGUCACAAAACUUCAGGCUAAAUCUCUGGUGAAGCCGAGGCAGCCGGGGCUCCAGUACACACAGCGUUCGGCUGUCCGCCUCUCCCCAGGGUCCCGGGGCUAUUGACUUUAUGGAUCAGAAUCACCAUCAUGAGUGUGGGAAGCAUGACCUCAAGUUUCAGCAAGAAGACAACUUGGGAAAGGAUUCUGUAGACACUGAGCCCAUUGUAGAGAGCUGUGGGACCCAGAGAUUUUCAUGAGAGUGAACAUGCCCUUCGAGAUCAAAGCAGAUUGUCUUCUAAGAGGCGUCCAGUGGGCGAUCCUCUGAAAAGUGACCCACUGUUCAGCAUAGCUCUUUCCAGCACACUGAAUUGGAGCCAGCUGGUGCCUGGAACGUACCUUAGCAAGAUUGUAUCCUCUGGGCCUAGUCAGUCAGUGCUUGCUGUUUCUGAGAAGGAUAUUCAUGAGCUGCUGCACUUCAGGGAUACUAAUUGGGAUUUGACGUGAAAUUUUUACCCUGACAUGUGCAUCACCUAAGGAGGAUGGCAACAACUGGCAUCAAGCAAAAGUGUGUUUUGGUUUUUCCCCAUAUAGUG
Bos taurus (domestic cattle) is the source of this 604-nucleotide long non-coding RNA. Lineage: Eukaryota; Metazoa; Chordata; Mammalia; Artiodactyla; Bovidae. The record is from Ensembl.